GACGAACGCUGGCGGCGUGCCUAAUACAUGCAAGUCGAACGCACUCUCGUUUAGAUUGAAGGAGCUUGCUCCUGAUUGAUAAACAUUUGAGUGAGUGGCGGACGGGUGAGUAACACGUGGGUAACCUGCCCUAAAGUGGGGGAUAACAUUUGGAAACAGAUGCUAAUACCGCAUAAAACCUAAACACCGCAUGGUGUAGGGUUGAAAGAUGGUUUCGGCUAUCACUUUAGGAUGGACCCGCGGUGCAUUAGUUAGUUGGUGAGGUAAAGGCUCACCAAGACCGUGAUGCAUAGCCGACCUGAGAGGGUAAUCGGCCACACUGGGACUGAGACACGGCCCAGACUCCUACGGGAGGCAGCAGUAGGGAAUCUUCCACAAUGGACGAAAGUCUGAUGGAGCAACGCCGCGUGAGUGAAGAAGGUUUUCGGAUCGUAAAACUCUGUUGUUGGAGAAGAAUGUAUCUGAUAGUAACUGAUCAGGUAGUGACGGUAUCCAACAGAAAGCC
Molecule: ribosomal RNA, 505 nt
Filed under: uncultured bacterium
Lineage: Bacteria
Description: bacterial SSU rRNA
Rfam family: Bacterial small subunit ribosomal RNA
Source: RNAcentral